Unclassified non-coding RNA from Mesocricetus auratus (golden hamster), 364 nucleotides. Its record names the gene 7SK. It matches the Rfam family "7SK RNA". From Rfam's summary of the family: 7SK was discovered as an abundant small nuclear RNA in the mid-70s but a possible function has only recently been suggested. Two independent studies have found that 7SK RNA binds the CDK9/cyclin T complex (known as elongation factor P-TEFb). P-TEFb activates transcription by phosphorylating the C-terminal domain of RNA polymerase II. The record is from Ensembl. NCBI's taxonomy places the organism in Eukaryota, Metazoa, Chordata, Mammalia, Rodentia, Cricetidae.
GCAUGUGGGGUGAUCCGGCUGCAGCAUCUGUCACUCCAUUUGGCACCAGGGUCAAUCCAGCUGAUCUUCCAGCUGAUCUGGCUGGCUAGGCAGGUGUCCCUUUCUUUCCUCACCACUCUGAGUGUCUUCCUCCUGAAGCUGUGUGCUCAGCUCAAAACGGUGACCUUCUCUAAUCAGGAUGGUUGGUCUCAGGUCAAGUGUAUACAAGUAGAUGCACUCUUUUGAUAGUACCUCCGAAUAAGCUCCCAUAAUCCUUGAGGCAGCUGUUGAGGUGCUCAGUGACUGGCUCUGACAACUCCCAGUGAGCAUGUGCAGAAGUUUCUCCUAGGUGAUAAUUCAAAGCUAUAGCAUAAGAGCCUCCUUG